GAACAGGUUCCUAUGUUUUUCUAGGGCAUGAGGACUAGGGAUGAAUAUUGAGCAGAAGCCAUCAAGUUGAAAAGAAGAGUUUGCAGGAGCCACCUGCAGUUUCACAUUAGGGUCCUGUAUGCUUAACAAGGUCUGACACUGCAGAGAAAUAUAUGAGUUCCCACUAAAGUUUGUGAUCUCAUUUUAAUAUUUGUUAAUCAAAACAUGAGCUUAAGAAAUGAGGAUGUUGCUUGAAGAUUAUAAUGUCUGUGUAAACACUGAAGCUAAAAAUAGGUCAUCACGAACUGGGUUGAUAAGGCUUUUAAUCACAAAGACCCAGAAAAAGUCUUUAAAAUGAAUUCAUCUGCCACUGCCAUCAAGAAAUUUACUGCUCAUUUGUUUGUCCAGUUAUCUCUUCAUUUAUUCAAGAAAUAUGUAUUCAAUGGCUGCUAUAUAUCAGGCACUAAGGAGAAUAAGACAGCUGAGACCUUCCAUCACAGACUCCAUAGCUCUUUCCCACAUCUCAAAUUUGGAAACCACAGACCCACGUUGGAUUUGGCAACAACUGCUCAUACACUCCAGUCUAGAAAUCAGACACUUUUUUCUUCCUAAGAAACAAGCAUCCUCCAAAUGUAUGUGCAAUACUCUCUAAAGCAGCAGCAGACUGUUCUAUACUCAAUGAUAUCCUGGACUUGCAACUAGCAAAUUAACUUUCAGGAGAUUAAUUUUUUCUGUCAACUGCCACCUGAUAUAGCAGAGAAAGCAGUGUUGGAAUUGGAACUCACUGGAUGUUGCAUGCCUGUGGGCUGGUAUUCCCACUUUUGCUGACGGUGUCCUGACACAGGAAAACAGUGGCCCCACUUCCAUUUAUUCACGGGGCGCACAUGCUGUCAAAGCUGGAAAGCUGAGUGGGCCAGCCCCUGUUCUACAUCUCAGUCUAGAAUCGGCAAGUAUGCAUUGUGAGAAGCCAGUGAUAGGGGAUAGCCUCUUCUUGGCCAUGAGUUUCUAGGCAUCCAGGAUACUAAGCCACUUUAAUCACUGUAUCAGACCUGCUGAUUUGGCUGUGCUAAUAUUGGUUAUUAAAAGAGCUGAGGGCCUACCAAUUCACUUAGAAAAACGUGUUCAAAGGUUUUGAAUAGAAAAAGACUGGGUUCGGGAAAGAUGUAUGUUUUUCAAAUUGGAAGGGGAAGAUUUACAGAUCUUCCUGUACACCUGUCCCACGUUCUGUGAACAGGAGGGCUAGAUUUUCUACUUUUUUACUUGUCUCCACCAGGCAACCAAUAAGUAUUGUAGGCCAUUAGAUUUAUAUACAUUUAACGCAGUAACAUUCAUAUGUGCUUUCUGAGAUGACGUGUUGAGGAGUGUCCCAUUGAAACAUAACCACAGAUACUUAUUCUUUUCCUUACAUAUAUCAUCAAAACAAGGAGCGUAUGAGACAUAAAGAAUUAAAGAAAAAAAUCUCAAAAAGCCAUAAAAAUCCAUCUCCAUUUUUCACCACAUUGUCAUGCUGCAUAAAAUCAACUCACUUGCAGCUCUAGAAACUUUCUAGUUGACCUGGACAGUGCUCUGUUUGUUGCCCAUUUUUCUAGUAAAUGACUAUUUUUGAAAUAAAAAUAUUUAUAUGUACCACCACAGAACGUAAAUCCUCAGUUGAAAAUUAGAUGCACUGCGUCCAUGUCAUUUUGCUUUGAAGACAAAGAAUUUCCUUUUAUUGAUAAUAGUAACUGUAUCAAGAAAUCUCCAAGGAACAAUCACAAAUCUGUAUUGCUUUCAUUCAUGAUGAGGAAAGAGUGUGGUGACAUAAGUCAGCAGUGAAGCUUUGUGAAGUCAGCAUCUGUCUUUGUGAAGUCAGUUAAUUUUGGACCUGGGAGAAAGCAUGGCCCCAAAGAACUGUAAAAAUCAACCGAAAUUUUGUGUUAGAUUUUUAGUGAGCAUAUGAAUUAUGAAUACAGCAGUCAACACCUGUAAUAAAAUAGUGUUAUAUUUAAAUUUCAAUAAGCUAUGCAUCUUUAGUUCAUGGUAAAACUGUAUUCUUUCGUAUAUCUGUAACUAGUAAAAGUCAAAAUCUGCUUAAAACAAGGGAUUGCUGGUAGAGAUUCAAAAUAAGCUUUAAGAGACUAACAAAUAAGGAAAAAAAUGGGCCAAUUUCUAGCCCAAAAGUGAUAUAAUGAAUGAUUGUCUAGAGAUAAGUUUAUUUGUGGUUAUGGUUUCUGAAUCUUCUAAUUCUUGGGGGAGCGUGUUAUUGGGCAGAAGACCCCUUCAAGGUGCAGUCCUGAGGGAGGGACGCCAUGGACACCUUGUGAGGAUGAAGCUGGCAACUUUGUAUGUAACCCAA
Long non-coding RNA from Artibeus jamaicensis (Jamaican fruit-eating bat), 2314 nucleotides. RefSeq lists it as uncharacterized. NCBI's taxonomy places the organism in Eukaryota, Metazoa, Chordata, Mammalia, Chiroptera, Phyllostomidae. The record is from RefSeq and is a predicted model, not a curated record. The transcript has 4 exons.